GGUAAAGUGGCCGAGUAGGUGGCGGAUUGUAAACCCGAGCACAGAGGUUUGAGCCCUCUCUUUACCA
This 67-nucleotide transfer RNA is filed under the name Sylvirana guentheri. Its description in RNAcentral is "tRNA-Tyr". It matches the Rfam family "tRNA". Rfam says of the family: Transfer RNA (tRNA) molecules are approximately 80 nucleotides in length. Lineage: Eukaryota; Metazoa; Chordata; Amphibia; Anura; Ranidae. The record is from RNAcentral. RNAcentral also lists the same sequence under 2 other names.